Molecule: ribosomal RNA, 497 nt
Filed under: uncultured bacterium
Lineage: Bacteria
Description: partial 16S ribosomal RNA
Rfam family: Bacterial small subunit ribosomal RNA
Source: RNAcentral
GAUGAACGCUGGCGGCGUGCCUAAUACAUGCAAGUCGAGCGAACAGACGAGGAGCUUGCUCCUCUGACGUUAGCGGCGGACGGGUGAGUAACACGUGGAUAACCUACCUAUAAGACCGGGAUAACUUCGGGAAACCGGAGCUAAUACCGGAUAAUAUAUUGAACCGCAUGGUUCAAUAGUGAAAGACGGUUUUGCUGUCACUUAUAGAUGGAUCCGCGCCGCAUUAGCUAGUUGGUAAGGUAACGGCUUACCAAGGCAACGAUGCGUAGCCGACCUGAGAGGGUGAUCGGCCACACUGGAACUGAGACACGGUCCAGACUCCUACGGGAGGCAGCAGUAGGGAAUCUUCCGCAAUGGGCGAAAGCCUGACGGGGCAACGCCGCGUGAGUGAUGAAGGUCUUCGGAUCGUAAAACUCUGUUAUUAGGGAAGAACAAAUGUGUAAGUAACUAUGCACGUCUUGACGGUACCUAAUCAGAAAGCCACGGCUAACUACGUG